This 449-nucleotide ribosomal RNA is filed under the name uncultured bacterium. Its description in RNAcentral is "partial 16S ribosomal RNA". It matches the Rfam family "Bacterial small subunit ribosomal RNA", at positions 29 to 523 of the family's 1533-position model. The record is from RNAcentral.
AAUGAACGCUGGCGGCAGGCCUAACAUAUGCAAGUCGAACGGAUCCUUCGGGAUUAGUGGCGGAUGGGUGAGUAACGCGUGGGAACAUACCCAAAGGUACGGAAUAGCCUCGGGAAACUGGGAGUAAUACCGUAUGUGCUCGAAAGAGGAAAGAUUUAUCGCCUUUGGAUUGGCCCGCGUUGGAUUAGGUAGUUGGUGGGGUAAUGGCCUACCAAGCCGACGAUCCAUAGCUGGUUUGAGAGGAUGAUCAGCCACACUGGGACUGAGACACGGCCCAGACUCCUACGGGAGGCAGCAGUGGGGAAUCUUAGACAAUGGGGGAAACCCUGAUCUAGCCAUGCCGCGUGAUCGAUGAAGGCCUUAGGGUUGUAAAGAUCUUUCAGGUGGGAAGAUAAUGACUGUACCACCAGAAGAAGCCCCGGCUAACUCCGUGCCAGCCGCCGCGGUAA